GCGGGACACGUGGUAUCCUGUCUGAAUAUGGGGGGACCAUCCUCCAAGGCUAAAUACUCCUGACUGACCGAUAGUGAACCAGUACCGUGAGGGAAAGGCGAAAAGAACCCCGGCGAGGGGAGUGAAAAAGAACCUGAAACCGUGUACGUACAAGCAGUGGGAGCCUCUUAAUGGGGUGACUGCGUACCUUUUGUAUAAUGGGUCAGCGACUUAUAUUCUGUAGCAAGGUUAACCGAAUAGGGGAGCCGAAGGGAAACCGAGUCUUAACUGGGCGUUAAGUUGCAGGGUAUAGACCCGAAACCCGGUGAUCUAGCCAUGGGCAGGUUGAAGGUUGGGUAACACUAACUGGAGGACCGAACCGACUAAUGUUGAAAAAUUAGCGGAUGACUUGUGGCUGGGGGUGAAAGGCCAAUCAAACCGGGAGAUAGCUGGUUCUCCCCGAAAGCUAUUUAGGUAGCGCCUCGUGAAUUCAUCUCCGGGGGUAGAGCACUGUUUCGGCAAGGGGGUCAUCCCGACUUACCAACCCGAUGCAAACUGCGAAUACCGGAGAAUGUUAUCACGGGAGACACACGGCGGGUGCUAACGUCCGUCGUGAAGAGGGAAACAACCCAGACCGCCAGCUAAGGUCCCAAAGUCAUGGUUAAGUGGGAAACGAUGUGGGAAGGCCCAGACAGCCAGGAUGUUGGCUUAGAAGCAGCCAUCAUUUAAAGAAAGCGUAAUAGCUCACUGGUCGAGUCGGCCUGCGCGGAAGAUGUAACGGGGCUAAACCAUGCACCGAAGCUGCGGCAGCGACACUAUGUGUUGUUGGGUAGGGGAGCG
RNAcentral lists this ribosomal RNA (819 nucleotides) under Escherichia coli. RNAcentral's name for it is "partial 23S ribosomal RNA". It matches the Rfam family "Bacterial large subunit ribosomal RNA", at positions 417 to 1238 of the family's 2925-position model. The record is from RNAcentral. Lineage: Bacteria; Pseudomonadati; Pseudomonadota; Gammaproteobacteria; Enterobacterales; Enterobacteriaceae. RNAcentral also lists the same sequence under 4 other names.